GAUGAACGCUGGCGGCGUGCCUAAUACAUGCAAGUCGAGCGAACAGACGAGGAGCUUGCUCCUCUGACGUUAGCGGCGGACGGGUGAGUAACACGUGGAUAACCUACCUAUAAGACUGGGAUAACUUCGGGAAACCGGAGCUAAUACCGGAUAAUAUAUUGAACCGCAUGGUUCAAUAGUGAAAGACGGUUUUGCUGUCACUUAUAGAUGGAUCCGCGCCGCAUUAGCUAGUUGGUAGGGUAACGGCUUACCAAGGCGACGAUGCGUAGCCGACCUGAGAGGGUGAUCGGCCACACUGGAACUGAGACACGGUCCAGACUCCUACGGGAGGCAGCAGUAGGGAAUCUUCCGCAAUGGGCGAAAGCCUGACGGAGCAACGCCGCGUGAGUGAUGAAGGUCUUCGGAUCGUAAAACUCUGUCAUUAGGGAAGAACAAAUGUGUAAGUAACUAUGCACGUCUUGACGGUACCUAAUCAGAAAGCCACGGCUAACUACGUG
RNAcentral lists this ribosomal RNA (497 nucleotides) under uncultured bacterium. RNAcentral's name for it is "partial 16S ribosomal RNA". It matches the Rfam family "Bacterial small subunit ribosomal RNA", at positions 28 to 507 of the family's 1533-position model. The record is from RNAcentral.